Non-coding RNA from Peromyscus maniculatus bairdii (prairie deer mouse), 226 nucleotides. NCBI's taxonomy places the organism in Eukaryota, Metazoa, Chordata, Mammalia, Rodentia, Cricetidae. The record is from RefSeq and is a predicted model, not a curated record.
CCCCAGACAGCAGGAAGUAAUUUUAAGAACAUGAUGCCCACAUUCCCAAGGGGUAAUAGGAACUAAUAAUUAACAGUAACAACACUGAAGAAAUCUUGAUAUGUAUCCAGUCUGGAAGGACUGAAGCCAAAAGGAACAUCCGUGUCCUCUGGAUGAACAGUCCAUUUUCACGUGGAUAUGCUGACUCAAUUUGAAUGGUGCAUUCUUGGAUCCCGGGAGGAAAGAG